GAUGAACGCUGGCGGCGUGCCUAAUACAUGCAAGUCGAGCGAACAGAUAAGGAGCUUGCUCCUUUGACGUUAGCGGCGGACGGGUGAGUAACACGUGGGUAACCUACCUAUAAGACUGGGAUAACUUCGGGAAACCGGAGCUAAUACCGGAUAACAUUUGGAACCGCAUGGUUCUAAAGUGAAAGAUGGUUUUGCUAUCACUUAUAGAUGGACCCGCGCCGUAUUAGCUAGUUGGUAAGGUAACGGCUUACCAAGGCAACGAUACGUAGCCGACCUGAGAGGGUGAUCCGCCACACUGGAACUGAGACACGGUCCAGACUCCUACGGGAGGCAGCAGUAGGGAAUCUUCCGCAAUGGGCGAAAGCCUGACGGAGCAACGCCGCGUGAGUGAUGAAGGGUUUCGGCUCGUAAAACUCUGUUAUUAGGGAAGAACAAACGUGUAAGUAACUGUGCACGUCUUGACGGUACCUAAUCAGAAAGCCACGGCUAACUACGUG
RNAcentral lists this ribosomal RNA (497 nucleotides) under uncultured bacterium. Its description in RNAcentral is "partial 16S ribosomal RNA". It matches the Rfam family "Bacterial small subunit ribosomal RNA", at positions 28 to 507 of the family's 1533-position model. The record is from RNAcentral.